CUCUCCUCUGCCUGAUUGUCUCCAGGUAGCUCGUUUUCCUAUCUGCGGGCACCCCAGCGAUAAACCGGCUAAUGAAGCGGGUGGCCAGGUCUCCAAAGCUGCCAAUACUCCCGGCCUCAAGGUUAUUGAACCACGCCCUUGCCGGCUCUGAGAGCGUCGUUGGGAAUACCUUGCACAUCAAGGCAUCUGACAGAGUCUGCAGCUCCAUGAAAG
Molecule: long non-coding RNA, 213 nt
Filed under: Manihot esculenta (cassava)
Lineage: Eukaryota; Viridiplantae; Streptophyta; Magnoliopsida; Malpighiales; Euphorbiaceae
Description: long non-coding RNA (MESC_LNC007823)
Source: RNAcentral